This 45-nucleotide non-coding RNA is filed under the name Schistosoma mattheei. The record is from RNAcentral. Lineage: Eukaryota; Metazoa; Platyhelminthes; Trematoda; Strigeidida; Schistosomatidae.
AUCUAUUUAACGAGUCCCGAACAGAACGAAACGCGCGUCCUGGAU